Molecule: ribosomal RNA, 496 nt
Filed under: uncultured Desulfobulbus sp.
Lineage: Bacteria; Pseudomonadati; Thermodesulfobacteriota; Desulfobulbia; Desulfobulbales; Desulfobulbaceae
Description: bacterial SSU rRNA
Rfam family: Bacterial small subunit ribosomal RNA
Source: RNAcentral
GCUCAGAAACUCAAAGGCAUUGACGGGGCCCGCACAAGCGGUGGAGUAUGUGGUUUAAUUCGAUGCAACGCGAAGAACCUUACCUGGUCUUGACAUCCCGGAGACCCUUAGGAAACUAGGGGGUGCUUCCAUCUGGAAGAAUCUGGAGACAGGUGCUGCAUGGCUGUCGUCAGCUCGUGUCGUGAGAUGUUGGGUUAAGUCCCGCAACGAGCGCAACCCUUGCCUUUAGUUGCCAGCAGUUCGGCUGGGCACUCUAAAGGGACUGCCGGUGUUAAACCGGAGGAAGGUGGGGAUGACGUCAAGUCCUCAUGGCCUUUAUGACCAGGGCUACACACGUACUACAAUGGCCGAUACAAAGGGCAGCGACACUGCGAGGUGAAGCCAAUCCCGUAAAAUCGGUCUCAGUCCGGAUUGGAGUCUGCAACUCGACUCCAUGAAGUUGGAAUCGCUAGUAAUCGUGGAUCAGCAUGCCACGGUGAAUACGUUCCCGGGCCUU